This is a non-coding RNA of Ictidomys tridecemlineatus (thirteen-lined ground squirrel), 72 nucleotides long. The record is from Rfam. NCBI's taxonomy places the organism in Eukaryota, Metazoa, Chordata, Mammalia, Rodentia, Sciuridae.
UGGGUUGUAACUCAGUAGUAGAAUGCUUGUCUUGUAAGCAUGAAGCCCUGGGUUUUAACCCCAGUAUACCUC